GGAAGAACGUAGCGAAAUGCGAUAAGUAGUGUGAAUUGCAGAAUUCAGUGAAUCAUCGAAUCUUUGAACGCACAUUGCGCCUCCUGGUAUUCCGGGAGGCAUGCCUGUUCGAGCGUCAUUAAAAUCACUCAAGCUUAGGUUUACCUAUUGCUUGGUCUUGGAGAUGGAAGCCAAUUCAUUGGAAUCCUCUUCGAAAUCCAAUGGCGAAGACCCUUGCUCUCCCAAGUGUAGUAAUAACUUAUGUCACUGAAGGAAGCGAGAAAUCUUCCGCCGUAACCCCCAUAUUUUCUAUGAUUGACCUCGGAUCAGGUAGGGAUACCCGCUGAACUUAAGCAUAUCAAUAAGCGGAGGA
RNAcentral lists this unclassified non-coding RNA (352 nucleotides) under soil metagenome. RNAcentral's name for it is "partial contains 5.8S ribosomal RNA, internal transcribed spacer 2, and large subunit ribosomal RNA". The stretch from base 2 to 118 matches the Rfam family "5.8S ribosomal RNA", at positions 38 to 154 of the family's 154-position model. The record is from RNAcentral.